UACGGGGGGGGCAAGCGUUGUUCGGAAUUACUGGGCGUAAAGGGCUCGUAGGCGGCCAACUAAGUCGGACGUGAAAUCCCCAGGCUCAACCUGGGAACUGCGUCCGAUACUGGAUGGCUUGAAUCCGGGAGAGGGAUGCAGAAUUCCAGGUGUAGCGGUGAAAUGCGUAGAUAUCUGGAGGAACACCGGUGGCGAAGGCGGCAUCCUGGACCGGUAUUGACGCUGAGGCGCGAAAGCUAGGGGAGCAAACGGG
Molecule: ribosomal RNA, 253 nt
Filed under: uncultured bacterium
Lineage: Bacteria
Description: partial 16S ribosomal RNA
Rfam family: Bacterial small subunit ribosomal RNA
Source: RNAcentral